This 484-nucleotide ribosomal RNA is filed under the name uncultured bacterium. RNAcentral describes it as "partial 16S ribosomal RNA". It matches the Rfam family "Bacterial small subunit ribosomal RNA", at positions 29 to 507 of the family's 1533-position model. The record is from RNAcentral.
AUUGAACGCUGGCGGCAUGCUUUACACAUGCAAGUCGAACGGCAGCGCGGGCUUCGGCCUGGCGGCGAGUGGCGAACGGGUGAGUAAUGCAUCGGAACGUGCCCAGUAGUGGGGGAUAGCCCGGCGAAAGCCGGAUUAAUACCGCAUACGACCUGAGGGUGAAAGCGGGGGACCGAAAGGCCUCGCGCUAUUGGAGCGGCCGAUGUCGGAUUAGCUAGUUGGUGGGGUAAAGGCUUACCAAGGCGACGAUCCGUAGCUGGUCUGAGAGGACGACCAGCCAACACGGGGAUGGAGACCGGCCCCGGACUCCUAGGGAGGGCAGAGUGGGGGAUUUUGGACAAAGGGGGGAAACCUGAACCAAGCCAGGCGGGGGGGGGAAAGAGGCCCUCGGGGUGGUAACCCGCUUUUUUUGGGAAAAAAAUCUUUGGGGUUAUACCCCGGGGGGAUGACGGUACCGGAAGAAUAAGCACCGGCUAACUACGUG